GGACCAUUCAUGAAGUUGAGUUCCAGGACUAUUCUUGAGUAUCCCAUUUUUCUCCAUGGCAGAUGUGCUCAACUCUGACUCAACUCUGCUGGUGAUUAAAAUAAUUCCAGAGAUUCAUCUUCAAAGUCCACUGGAUUCUAAAAAUCUCAAAGCAAAUGGGAAAGUGUCCCACUGGUUUAGAAAUGGAAUUGGAAGCCUGCAGGAGAAAGCAAGGAUUUUUAUUGUAGGGAUACCUGUCACAUGAAAAGCCCAUAUGGCCUGGAGUGUCACACUUCAUUUACCUCAACAAUGCAAACAAGAGCUUGAGAAGAAUCUCACCAUUUGACAGCCCAAAUGGCUCUUUAGCAACAACUUCUAGUUCUCUGGCCAGGCCACAUUAAAUGACAGUUUUAUUGAAAGAAAAAGAAACCAAAAAAUAACAUGGAGUAUUGUCAUGAGAUUGAGACAUGUUGGGGGUUGAGGGUCAGAGGUGAAUUUUAACUGUUCUCAUGUUCAACAAAGAGGCCAAAAUCCUAUGCUAUUCUCUUGUGGGGAUAAUGGAAAUGAGUUAAUAUGAUAUUGAGGAAAACUUCAUUUUUUUUUUCUUUAGGAAUAUCAAGGUGGAGGAGGAUUAAUGACCCACAAAUAGAAGAGAUAAAGAUCAGUGUUUCUUUUGCAUAGAAAGAAUAUUUGGUGCUAUUGGAGCACCCCCUGGAAAAGUUGCUAAUGGGACCUGAGGGCAGGGGGUGAAUAAUUCCUCCUCUGCUUGGUAUUGAGCUCUUCUCCCCAUGUUGGAUUUUCUAUAAAAUGAUUCACUAAGAGUGUGGGUUAUAUUAUUCAAUUGUAUGUUAGCAGCAGAACAAGAGUUUUGGGGGAACAAUGGAAGGAUAGGGUAGAAAGGAUUGGAAAAUUGGAGGAUAAAGCUAUUAUAAACCAUAAUGAGGGACUCCAAAGCCAUGGUCAAGGAAAAGAGUUUUCUUUUUGGUAUUUUUUUGUUUUAUAAUCACUGGGACUCUUGAGUAGUCAUUGGGCAAGAUGUUGCCAUGUGCUUCACAUUGGCAAAGACGAAUCUAAUUCAUUCAAUUACUGACCAAGAGGUAGAACAGCAGAAAUGAUGGUUCUCUGGCUUGUUUAUGGAUGCAGGACUUAAUGAAGUCAAGAAGCAUUUAUUCAGUUCUUAAUAUCUGCCAGGCACUGUGUUCAGUGCUAGGUAUAGGAUACUUCAGCAGAGGGAAGACACCAGAAUUCAGGUGAUUGAGAAAGGUUCUAGUAGAAGAAGUGACUUUAGUUGAGACUUGAAGAAAGUCAGGGAAAUUAGGAGGUGGAGGUGAGGAAGAAGAGUCUUCCAGUCCUGAGGACAGCCAGUGAAAAUGUUUAGAGCUACAAGAUAGAGUCUUGUACCAGAAAGAAUAAGGACAGCAUUUACUGGAUCAUAGAAAAUGCACAGAAAGUGCAAAAAGAUUGCCCAGGUAUAGAGAUUAAAAGUCAAAAGUUUUGGAUGUGAUCCUGGAGGAUCACCUGGGUUGCUUGAAUGGGGGAGGGGUCAUGGCAUAGUUAGAACUGCCCUUUAGGAAGAUCAGUUGGCAACUGAGUCAAAGAUGGACUGGAGUAAGGACACUGGAAACAAGAAACCAACCAGCAGGGUGUUGCAAAGAUCCAGGUCUGAAUUAGAGGACUUGGAUCAGGGUAGUGAUUAUGUCCAAGAAAAGAAGUAGAAAUAUGCAAAAAAUAUUACAAAAAAGAAUUAUACACUCUUGACUGGUUUGAGAAACAGAACCAAUAUAGGGGGUGGGCAGGGUAAGAGCAAAUAAGACUUCGAGCUUAGCCCCAAGGUUAUAAACCCAGUGUCCUCAACAAUAAUAGGGAAGUUUGGAAGAAAGUUUGAUGGUGGUGAUGGGGGGGGGGUAGGAAAACAAUCUCAGUUUUAGACUCAUUUAGCUUAAGGUAAUCUAUGAUAUAUCCAAAUUCAAGAUAGAUGAUUGGAGGUCAAGAAAGAGGUUAGGACUGGAAAAAUAGAUCUGAGAAUCAUCUGCACAGAGAAGAGAGUUAAAUCCGUAAGAGCUGGUAAAGUCACCAAGGGGAAGAGUAAAGAGGGAGAUGAGAAAAGGACCCAGAUAAAAUAGGGGGAGAUAGCCUGGGUUAGAUGUGACCAGGAUAUCUAGUGGUAUUCUGGAGUUCAGCUGUUUAUUAUGGAAAUGUCUUCCUUCUUUCCCAAAUGGAAGAGAAAGGUGGGAUGGCAGAAUGAAUUCUGGCUUUGUCCACUUCACAAUGUGUCACUUUAUACAAGUCUUAGCAAGUUUUUCUAAGACCAUUCCCUUCAUUAUUUCUUAUACCACAAUAAUAUUUUAUCACAUUUAUAUACUUUAACUUAUUCUGCUAUUCUCUAAUUUGCAAGUACCUCCUCAAUUCCCAUUCUCUGCUAUUCAAAAAAUAGCUACAAAUAUUUUUGUAUAUCCAUCAUUAGAAUUUGUUUUGCUUAAUAUUAAUUCUUUCCUUAAUAUUUUCUUCCUCUAGUUCCCUUUUCUCCCACCACUCUGUUUCUCGGUUGAAUGAAACCUAUUUCUGUACUAAGUCUUCUCUGUCUCUAUGUCUCUGUUUCUCUCACAUUGUCUCGGUCUCUGUCUGACUUUAUUGAUCUUUCCAGUUCAGAUAAGAGUGAAGUUCAAGUAUCAACCUGACCUCAUUCUUUUUGUAUUUACUUUCUCCAUGCACACCUUGGUUAUAUGAGAUAAAGUUCCCCAAUCUUCCUUUACCUUUCCUAUCCUCCCAAGUAUAUAAUUUUCCUUCUCUCCCUAUUCUUUUUAAGAUCAAAAUAUAGUGAAGCUCUUCCCAUGCCUUCUGUCUAAUUAGAUUUCCAUCCCACCUGGAACCCAGAUGACCUGUCCAUUGGAAAGCUUUGACUAGAAUCUAAAACCACUGUCCUAGAAACCAUUCUUAUAUUGCAAAAAACAAACAAAAAAAAACUUUAAGCUUAGAAACACCCUAGGUAGGAAUUUUUCCAGUCACCUCCCUUAUUGUUGGAACCCUGACCUCACAAAGCAGCACACACCUGAGCUAACUGUUGACAUUUCUUGCAAACAUGGAAAGGAAACCUGCCUUUGUUUGGCAUUUUUACACAUUGUUUCCAGCUCAGCCCCUGGAAGCUAGUGUCUCUACUCCACAUCAUAGCCCUUUAUAGUUUUGAAACCAGUGAUCAGAUCAUCCCCACUUCUAUCUUCUUUUGUUCCUUAUGUAAGAUGGAUUCCAGACCCCUCCCCAUAUGAGAGAUCUUUACUAUACACCGUCUAGUUUGUUACCAUCUCCUUCAAAAUGUGGCAUGAAGGACAUACUGUAAUACUUAGAUUGUCAUUUAAAAAAUGGCCCCAGGGUCUAUCCAGCCUGCUCACAACAUUAUUCUGUGUUUAGAACUAGGGUUUGCUUCCUGGCUUGUUUGUGUUUUAUACUGUUUGCUUUAACAAUCUAGGCAGGAGCACAAUUAAUGUGGGCUGGGCCUUGCAUUUUCCCCUUGUACAUUUCCUUUGAUUUUUGUCUGAGUCUUCAACUUUAUUGGCUUAGGGAAUCUAAGCCAAUGGAACCUCCUCCUGAUGCAGAUGGGCCAUUCAUUUAUU
Molecule: long non-coding RNA, 3587 nt
Filed under: Sarcophilus harrisii (Tasmanian devil)
Lineage: Eukaryota; Metazoa; Chordata; Mammalia; Dasyuromorphia; Dasyuridae
Description: lncRNA (ENSSHAG00000021919.1)
Source: RNAcentral